UCUCCCAUCCAAGUACUAACCAGGCCCAACCCCACUUAGCCUCCGAGAUCAGAUGAGCUGGGGAGAGUUCAGGGUGGUAUGGCUGUAGA
RNAcentral lists this small RNA (89 nucleotides) under Cricetulus griseus (Chinese hamster). Lineage: Eukaryota; Metazoa; Chordata; Mammalia; Rodentia; Cricetidae. The record is from RNAcentral.